This 482-nucleotide ribosomal RNA is filed under the name uncultured bacterium. RNAcentral's name for it is "partial 16S ribosomal RNA". It matches the Rfam family "Bacterial small subunit ribosomal RNA", at positions 30 to 507 of the family's 1533-position model. The record is from RNAcentral.
AUUGAACGCUGGCGGCAUGCUUUACACAUGCAAGUCGAACGGUAACAGCACUUCGGUGGCUGACGAGUGGCGAACGGGUGAGUAAUACAUCGGAACGUGCCUAGUAGUGGGGGAUAACUACUCGAAAGAGUAGCUAAUACCGCAUGAGAUCUAAGGAUGAAAGCAGGGGACCUUCGGGCCUUGCGCUACUAGAGCGGCUGAUGGCAGAUUAGGUAGUUGGUGGGAUAAAAGCUUACCAAGCCGACGAUCUGUAGCUGGUCUGAGAGGACGACCAGCCACACUGGGACUGAGACACGGCCCAGACUCCUAUGGGAGGCAGCAGUGGGGAAUUUUGGACAAUGGGCGCAAGCCUGAUCCAGCAAUGCCGCGUGCAGGAUGAAGGCCUUCGGGUUGUAAACUGCUUUUGUACGGAACGAAAAGCCCUCUUCUAAUACAGGAGGGUCAUGACGGUACCGUAAGAAUAAGCACCGGCUAACUACGUG